RNAcentral lists this ribosomal RNA (248 nucleotides) under uncultured Ruminiclostridium sp. RNAcentral describes it as "partial 16S ribosomal RNA". It matches the Rfam family "Bacterial small subunit ribosomal RNA", at positions 524 to 771 of the family's 1533-position model. Lineage: Bacteria; Bacillati; Bacillota; Clostridia; Eubacteriales; Oscillospiraceae. The record is from RNAcentral.
UACGUAGGUGGCAAGCGUUGUCCGGAUUUACUGGGUGUAAAGGGCGUGUAGCCGGGUUGACAAGUCAGAUGUGAAAUCCCGUGGCUUAACCACGGAGCUGCAUUUGAAACUGUUGAUCUUGAGUAUCGGAGAGGCAGGCGGAAUUCCUAGUGUAGCGGUGAAAUGCGUAGAUAUUAGGAGGAACACCAGUGGCGAAGGCGGCCUGCUGGACGACAACUGACGGUGAGGCGCGAAAGCGUGGGGAGCAA